Molecule: non-coding RNA, 3485 nt
Organism: Manis javanica (Malayan pangolin)
Lineage: Eukaryota; Metazoa; Chordata; Mammalia; Pholidota; Manidae
Source: RefSeq, a predicted model, not a curated record
GGGCUCGUCGCAGGCCCCACCCUAGCAAAGAAAAAGAAAAGAGACGCUGAGCCUGGCUCCAGAGAGCUCCUCUUCCCGCCCGGGCCCCUCUUUCCUGGCCCAGGGUCCCCCGAGUCCAGGGACGCCGGAGCCUCUGCCCUUCCCCGCCCAGCACCUGGGGCGAGCAAACCCCUUUACCGCCCGUCUGUUCGCCCCACCCUUUGGUGAUUUAGUGCCCGAGCCCCGCCCAAGGCGCUAAUUUAACUCGACGUGCAGCACUUCCAGGCACCGCUGCUACGUACGGCUCGCUCCUGCCUGGGACCAGCUUCGUCUCGCUGCCGAGGCCGCGCAGCCCCUGCGCCGGUCCCCGUCCCCGCGGCCAUGCGACUUGCGCGGCCGAGCGCCCCCGCAGUGUCGCGCCUCCUCGGCGGCCUGACCCUGCUGCUGCUGUGCCCCCCGGCUGCAAGGGGUGACUGCAGCCUUCCCCCAGAUGUACCUAAUGCCCAACCGACUUUGGGAGGUCACACAAGUUUUCCUGAGCAAAGCACGGUAACAUACAAAUGUAAUAAAGGCUUUGUAAAAAUUCCUGGCAAGGCAGAUUCCGCGGUCUGUCUGAGUGACAAUAAGUGGUCACCGGUUGCAGAAUUUUGUAAUCGUAGCUGUGAUGUUCCAACAAGGCUACUUUUUGCGUCUCUCAAAAAGCCUUAUAGCGAACAGAAUUAUUUUCCAGAAGGUUCCACGGUGGAAUAUGAGUGUCGUAUGGGCUACAAAAGGGACCCUUCUCUGUCAGGAAAACUAACUUGCCUUGCAAAUUUUACAUGGUCCAAAGCAGAUGAAUUUUGUAAAAAAAAAUCAUGUCCUAAUCCUGGAGAAAUAAAAGAUGGUCAUGUCAAGAUAACAACCGACAUAUUAUUUGGUGCAUCCAUCUUCUUCUCAUGUAACACAGGGUACAAAUUAGUUGGUGCAAGUUCUAGUUUCUGUUCUCUAGUGGGAAACACUGUUGGGUGGACUGACCCAUUGCCAGAAUGCACAGAAAUAUCCUGUCCAGAACCACCAGAAAUUGACAAUGGAGUAAUUCAAGAGCCACAGAACAUUUAUGUAUAUAGACAGUCUAUAACAUAUAAAUGUGCAAAGGGCUUCACCUUGAUCGGAGAUAAGUCUAUUUCUUGUACUGUGAAAAAUGACCAAGUAGUAUGGAGUGGUCCACCCCCUGAAUGCAAAGGAAGUUCUUUCAUUUCCAAGGUCACACCAGCAGUUCAGAAAACCACUAUAGUAAGUGCUACAGCUACAAAAUCCCCACCAACUCCUCAGAAGCUCACCACACUGAAUGUUCCAGGUACUGAAGCCCCAUCAACUCUUCAGAAACCCACUGCAAUAAAUUCUUCAGCUACAAACACCCCGCUAACUCCUCAGAAACCCACCACUGUAAAUGUUUCAGCUGCAGAAACCCCAUCAGCUCCUCACAAACCCACCUCUAUAAAUUCUUCAGCUACAAAGGUCCCACUAACUCCUCAGAAACUCACCACUGUAAAUGUUCCAGCUACAGAAACCCCAUCAACUCCUCACAAACCCACUACAAUAAAUUCUUCAGCUACAAAGUUGCCACUAAUUCCUCAGGAACCUACCACUAUAAAUGUUCUAGCUACAGAAACCCCAUCAGCUCCUCACAAACCCACCUCAAUAUAUUCUUCAGCUACAAAGGUCCCACUAACUCCUCAGAAACCCAUCACUGUGAAUGUUCUGGCUACAGAAACCCCAUCAGCUCCUCACAAACCCACCUCAAUAAAUUCUUCAGCUACAAAGCUGCCACUAAUUGCUCAGAAACCCACCGCUGUGAAUGUUCCAGCUGCAGAAACCCCUUCAGCUCCUCAGAAACCCACUACAGCAAAUGGUUCAUCCACAACAGCCAAAAAAUCCCCCAUCUCAAACACUGUAUCUACAGAGACCCCACAAGCAUCCCAGAACCCCAUCAAGGCAAAUUCUUCUGCUACACAGGCCACACGAACAACCCAGAGAGUCACCACAGCAAAAGCUUCAUUUACACAGAGUCUUCCAGGAACACAAAAGUCCACUGCUGUACAUGUCCCUGUGACUAAGCGUCUCCACACAACACAAAGAUUGACCUCUGCUCAUAUUGCAGCGACACAGAGACCAGCUGUUUCCAGGACAACCACACGUUUCCAUGCAACAAGCACUUCUAAAGGAAGAGGAACCACUCCUUCAGGUGCUACCAUCAUUACAUUUGGAUUUGUUGCUGGUACUUUAAUAAUUGGUAGCCUAAUCCUAAUCAAAAUUAUCUGGGACUAUGGAAAAUCAGGCUCUUACUACACACAUGAGAACAACAAAGCUCUCAAUGUUCUGUUCAUAAUUUAACUGUGACUGGUGAUGCCUCAGAAGUAAGACCACCUAAUAAAUUAUAAAAGGGCACACAUGUACAAUAUUGACAGUUUUGCUUGUGAUGCUAGUAAACCUUGGCUAGCUGACUUAGCCAAAGAAGAGUUAAGAAGAAAGUGCACACAAGUACACAGAAUAUUUCUAGUUUCUUAGAACUUUCUGGAGAAGUGGACACAAUAUAUCCAAUAGUGCUCUUGGUUUUGCUGUGAUCAUUGUCUUCUUUAAGGUGUGUGGUGCAUAGGAAUGCCAGCCAAACAAGGAGAAAGGAUUUGUCCUGGAAACACAUUCUCAAUGUUUCUCAGCCUCUUGAAAAUAGAACAGCUCACGAGACUGAGAGCGAUCCCUUUCCUAAAAGUGUAACGGAGUGUAGACAUUUGUUCAUGCUUAGAAUAUGAGCAUGAAGAAAAGGGAAUGAGUGACAUUUUUUCACUAGAUGUGUAAUGCUAUUUUUACUUACGAAGAAAAUAAAAAAUUCAAAACGUUACUUGGAUAUUGAAAACUAAGCUAAAACUAAAACCAGUCUCUUCCGAGCAAAGCUGCCAAAGAGAGAUGAACCUCAUUAUAAAAUAAUCCCUCCUGACUGUAAGGCAUUUUCAUCUUUCCUUACUCCAUUAAAAUGAGUCCAAAUGGGUUGGCAAAAUAUUUUAAAGGAAAAACAUGCUAAUGACUCAAGAGUGUUGAGUUUCUUGGGUUUAGUUGGUGGCAAAGAAGGAGUAGAGUAUAUAGGAUUAUUUUUUUUCUUUGUCACACAGCACAAAUAAUGAAUAAAGCCCCUUACUUGUAAGAUGGAUCAGCUGCGAUUUUGUUCUUAGGACAGCCUUAAAAAAAACAGAUAAGAAAACCCAGUGAAAAGUGUCUUCAUUGACUUACUGUCUUUGGAAGUAUCCAGAGAUAAUACAAUAUUAACAUAAGGAAGGAUACUAUAUUUCUGAGAUGUUCAUAGCCAAAUUGUAAAUCUUUUCUUUUGUAAUAUUAAGAUUAAUUUAUUUGUAUUUAUUUAUGUCAGUGAACACAUUGAUUUCACAUGUAUAGUAAGAAACGUUCAAGAAGAGAUGUAAAGAAAAUCUUAUUUUCCCUAAUAGAAAUAAAUGAUCACAUUUUUGUCUCAUGCA